CCACAAAUAUCAUUGUUUUCCUGUACGUCUUUCCUUUUUUUUUUUCUUUCCCUCUACUAUGUGCCUGCCAGCUCUACAGUUAUUCUUUAUUUUCUUUCCCGUCCUUUUUUAAAAUGAAAGAGAUCGUUUUUAUAAUGGUAAAGAUUUGCUAACAGCGAAAUCUCCAUUUGCAGUCAGUGUAGCAACUUUUCCCCCUCUGUUAACUGCGAGUGUCAACAUUACCUUCUACAACAGCAUAAAUUGCUGAUUUCCAGCAUAUGGACAUGGAAUGCCAGAUAUGUUGUGGCUUAGCCGAGGCAUUAAGGAAAUCUCUCAGCGUUGCUGAGUGCUGCUGCUUUCUAGGGUCAAGGAAAUGAAGGACGUGAAUUUUGUGUUAGAGAAACAAAAGAAGAGUAUUGGGAUUUCGGUAAUAUCUGAGGGGAAAAAAAAAGGAGAAGAGGUGAAGUCCUAGCUCUCCACCAGCUCUCUGCAAUACCACGCUGCCAUGGAGCACAGCUGAGCCCUGUCAAAACAAUAUCAAUAAGUUCCAAUUGAAGAGCGGAUUCUUUUGCAAUUCAGGCAUGUGCCGGCGAUAACGGGCGAGUUGGCAUGAAGAGAGGCAGAGAUGGAUUAAUUAUGCAGAGAACAUGGAAAUUCUGCUUAUCAUCGGCUAGCAAAGGAGCCCAGCUCACAUAAUCAGCAAACGAAGGGAGAGAAAAAAAUAACAAUGCAAUGGCACCUUCCAGCCCAUCAUCAGGAUUUUUUCUACCCCCUUGUAAUUAAAAAAUAACAUACACUUAUAGCCCUAUCUCCUGUGCAGGCAAGGAGUGGAUGUCCACAAAAUAAUUGCACUGGGAUAUUAGAGCUGGGAACAAGGGCUGUCCAUUCCUACUAUCCCUUACCCUCUCCCUCCCUCUCUCCUCCGGCCUCUCCUAGGCACUUUCUUCCUGUCUGCAUUCUGAAUCAGAUGUGUGUCUCAGGUGACAUCCUAUCUCGGUGUCCAUAAGUCCCAAACCUCACUCUUAUCAAGAUUCAAGCAAACAUGUAUAUGAUAAAUAUUUGAAGUGCUGAAGCUGUGGGGUUUUAUCCUGAUCACCUAUGAGCUAUCUACUGAAAAUCAUUUUGAUGAAAACCUUUCCAAACAGUCUUUUUGAGUUACAAAAUAGACUGAUUAGAAGGGGGUUUUGUUGCCGUUCCUAUUUCACUUUGGCUCAGGGAAGAUUAUGUUACCUAUAAAGUGUGUUUUUUUCUUAUUCAUCUCAUGCUUUUUUAAAUACAAGGUAAAAAAAUACAGAAAUGAAACGGAUUUAUGGGUUAGAUGAAAUUAUGGUUGUUUAACAAGGUUCAGUAGCCAUAUAUUUGAGGAGAACUAUGCAAUAAAAAGAAGAAAUCUGUUUCUUGUAAAAAAAAAUAGAUUGAUUCUGCAUUUGUUAUUGUUCAUUUUACUAAUGGUAUAUCUCAUGACUGCAAAUGAAGAUGCAGACAGUGUAUUUUACAGUUUUGUUCCAUGAGCAGGCUGCUUCACAAACGAGUUUUGCAGCUUUUAUACCCUCCAAUUUUUGCCCAUCGCUCCGUGCAAGUGAUGUUCCCAGACCUCAUGGGCCCGUGUCCCUCCCUCUGGACUCAUUGGUCAGGAAGGGAAACGAAACGGAGAAUGAGGGCCAGAACGGCGGCAAUUAUGUGAGUAGGAAGGGUGAGCAGUAGGCCACGAUUAUAAAGCUGGCUGUCUCUGGAAAUGUAAUUUAUUCAUUGAGUUUCUCCAAAGCAGGGGACCAGUGUGGGGCGCAGUUUGCACACCAGUAAAUGAGCUCCUGGGGACUUUGAUGAUAACUGAUUCUCUACUAAGUUUGUAAAAAAUUUUUAAUCCCCAUUUGGAAACAGCAAUGAAGCUGGAAAAGAAAAAUCUGAUUCCAUUGCAGAGUUACGCAUGAUAAAUCAGUAAUAAAUUUUCAUCAGUAUCCUUAAGAAAAGAAAAGCAUUUACAAAACUGGCAUCUUAAAGACGAGAUACUGUUCCAAACUCUUCUCUGAGGCUCCAUAGUAUAAAUCCAGAAUAAAUCCAUUGAGCUCAUUACAUUAUAUAAUCAAAGCAGUGCAAAUGUAUACAUGCACACACAGUCACACAUGGUUUCAGGAAAAGGUUCGAGAGGGUGAGAUUUACGCUAUUUGCUACAGUAGAACAGCACUCUAUCUAAAAUCCUGUAUUAAAAUUAUCUCAAUGAGGUUUCUUUGUUUGUUAGAAAUUGGAGCAGAGCACCUUUUCUAGGGGUGCAGCUGCCGAGUCAGUCCCCCGGCAACAGUCACCUCAGCCUGGGCAAUUCCCCUGCCUGAGUCUCAUGGCUGUCAUCCACUUCUCCCAGUGAAGAUGGCAGGGAGGGCCAUGAAGACCUUUGUGAUCCCAUCUAGGCACUCUGUAAAUAGGGAACGGACUGAGACCUACAGCCAUUCCCAUCACAGCAUCAUUUUGAGAGUUGAUUGACUCUGGGAUUCAAUCCCAUAUCCCAUUACCUGUCUUAGACUUGUAGAGGAAGAAGAGAGGACUCCAACUUGAUGGAGCAAAUGUAGUUCAGGUGAGACUGUAAUUGGCAACAAAGGAAAUUAAAAAAAAAAAAAAAGAAGAAGAAGAAGAAGUGAGAUGCUAUGUUCAUAGCCACAGAGAGAUGUCAGAGGUAUGGCCACCAGAAGAAGAAAGCACUCUUCAUAUCCAGAAUGUGUAUUCAACACAAUAGAUAGAAGCUGGCAGUCGGUACUGCCUUCACUGCAGAGGCCGCAGUUGGUCACCUGGCUGGGUACCAGAAGAAAUCACAGUCAGGAUCUGAACUAGCUGCCAAUACAGACCUGGAGCCUAUAAACAGAUCUAC
Long non-coding RNA from Gallus gallus (chicken), 2839 nucleotides. The record is from Ensembl. Lineage: Eukaryota; Metazoa; Chordata; Aves; Galliformes; Phasianidae.